GAUGAACGCUGGCGGCGUGCCUAAUACAUGCAAGUCGAGCGAACGGACGAGAAGCUUGCUUCUCUGAUGUUAGCGGCGGACGGGUGAGUAACACGUGGAUAACCUACCUAUAAGACUGGGAUAACUUCGGGAAACCGUAGCUAAUACCGGAUAAUAUUUUGAACCGCAUGGUUCAAAAGUGAAAGACGGUCUUGCUGUCACUUAUAGAUGGAUCCGCGCUGCAUUAGCUAGUUGGUAAGGUAACGGCUUACCAAGGCAACGAUGCAUAGCCGACCUGAGAGAGUGAUCGGCCACACUGGAACUGAGACACGGUCCAGACUCCUACGGGAGGCAGCAGUAGGGAAUCUUCCGCAAUGGGCGAAGGCCUGACGGAGCAACGCCGCGUGAGUGAUGAAGGUCUUCGGAUCGUAAAACUCUGUUAUUAGGGAAGAACAUAUGUGUAAGUAACUGUGCACAUCUUGACGGUACCUAAUCAGAAAGCCACGGCUAACUACGUG
RNAcentral lists this ribosomal RNA (497 nucleotides) under uncultured bacterium. Its description in RNAcentral is "partial 16S ribosomal RNA". It matches the Rfam family "Bacterial small subunit ribosomal RNA", at positions 28 to 507 of the family's 1533-position model. The record is from RNAcentral.